GGGCUCGGAGAGACGCGGCUACACAUCACCAAGACCCGGGAUGGAGGAGAGAGGCGGAGGGGGGAAGAAAAAGUUUAAACCUGGCAGACCAACUUUCAACAUGACGCCUCAUUGACGCGCAGUCUUGCCACCAUCACAACGACAAGAGCUGCAGUGCUAGAUUAAAGCUUGUGAAAUUAUUCUUCACCUUUUUUUUUUGCCUUUCCUUCUUCGCUGUCUGUGCGCGCAAGGCUGGCGGAGGCUUGCUGUCCCUGCGCGCUGAGAUGUUGGAGUGAGCAUGGCCGCGCAAGUGGCAUCGGCUCCCGCUAGAACUAACAACAAAAAUAAGAAAUUAUCCAGCAGCUUGGGCACGGAGCUCAAUUCGGGGAAAUCCGGAGGAGGAGGAGGCAACAUACAGAUGCUGGGCGCGGGAGAUGGGACCUUAAAUAACGUAGACCAUCACCGCCGAACGGAGCCCAGCAUGGUGCGUUCAACUUCUACGGGUCACAACAAGGAUGGGAAUAACCUCACAUCGUCUAAUUCCAACGCGCCUUCAAUGGAAACGGCACUGGUCACAAACCAUAAGCUGAAAUGUGUUGGGAGCGGUGGAGACCCCCCUCAGUCCCAGACACCGCAGCCGCAAUUCGGCCAAUUUGCGCCGCAUCCGCAGCGUCAGAUCCACAACAACAACAACGGCCAGGGACCCCGAGGUGGGGUGGACCAUCACGGCGGCAAAGAGAACCUGCUGGGAGGUCAAGGGGAGUCACAGCAGCAGCAGCAGGUGCAAGGUAAAGGUGAGGGACACCUUAAAUCCACAGAGGGGAUGAUGUCUACAAGGUAUGACCACUCUAACUUGGGGCCAACUAGCAACAACUCAGAGUUCAACAACUAUUACACUGCAAGGUCUUACGAGCAACAUGGCGGACAGCCGCAGCAAGGGAUGGGGGUAACAUCGGCGCAGAACAGCAUGGACAACUCCCAUGAAGCAGGCUACCAGAACAGCCAGUACAAUCAGUACCCUCCCUAUAAUAGGACCGGGUAUGGCGGCGGGGCCUACGGCAUGAUGGCCCCCUCUGGGUGCCGGCAACCUGGGAGCAUGAUGAUGAGCAGCAACUCCUCAGCAAGCCACAGCAAGUCCACGCUGGGGGCCUCUUCCAGUGGUUUCCAAAGGUUCCCAGGGCCACCUCAGCAACAGCAUCCCUCAGGGGCCACCCCAACCCUCAACCAGCUGCUCACAUCCCCCAGCCCCAUGAUGCGAGGCUACAGCGGAGCCUACCAAGACUACAGUGGAUCCUCCUCGCAACAGGGCUUGGGGAAAGAUGUGGGCCCCCAAUACGGUGCCACGUCGGCCCACGGAUGGGGAGGGCAGCCUAGGAGCCAUCCACAUUCAUUGAGUCCAGGCAGUGGGGGGCAAGGCCUCGGGAGAAGUCAGGUGUCCUCCAUGGAUUUCAUGGCAAUGAAGCGUUCACAGCUGUAUGGCAUGGCCAACAAUCCGUACUCAGGCCCACAGCAUCCAGGGGGCGGGCCUUACCCUCCAAGCCAGCCAUACACUCCACCUCCUUCACAGCGUUAUCCAAUGAGCAUGCAGGGAAGAAGUCAGAUAGGCAUGGGCAGCAUGCAGUAUCCUCAGCAGCAGGUGGGGCCCUAUGGUCAGCAGGGGAUGGGUGGCUACAGUCAGCAGCAGCAGACGGGCCAGCAGGGAACUCUGCCCUAUUUCAGUCCCACCCAACAGACCCCUCCAGCCCCCAACCAGAGCCCUUACCUGCAGUCACGACCACCUCCACAGGAGGCACAACACGAGAGCUACAGCACCAGAGGUCCGGGUCCAGGGAACUCUGGGAAGAACAACAAUGAGGAUGGUGUCUCUUCACAGGACCGCCCUUCCAGUCUGCCGGAUCUAUCUGGCUCGAUAGAUGACCUCCCCACAGGGACCGAGGCUGGUCUGGGAUCAGCCGUCAGCAGCAGUAGUAGCCAAGGGGAGCAAGCAGGGGCCAGCACCCAAAGACAGUCUCCUUUCUCUCCGCACGCCUCCCCACACCUUCACAGUCACCGAAGCGGACCUUCUCCCUCACCUGUGGGUUCACCUGCAGGCUCCACGCAGUCCCAGCAGUCACGAUCAGGUUCUGGGCCCAUCUCGCCUGCCAGUGGACCCCCUGCAGGUGCCAACACACCAGGCCCCACCUUGACCCCACAGAGCUCUGGGAACGGACCGGAUGGAUCUCACCCACCGAUCACGCGUUCACCUAUGGCUCAGGAGCGAGGGUUCAUAUCGAACAUGCAGAGGAACCAGGCUGGCUCUCAAUUCCCACUGUAUCCCGGGAUGGGUCCCUACUCCCAAUGUGGACCCCAAGGCCCUUACGCACCUCAAGGAUCCCAGUAUGGACACCCAGGGAACUACCCUCGGCCCGCCAACUACAGUGGGACUACAAGUACCAACUACAGUGGUCCUGGCCCAGGCAUGACCAACAGUCUGGCCAUGAACGCAAGCAGCCCCAUGCACGGCCAAGGCCCUGGUCAACCCAUCCCUGGAGGACGCAACAAUGGACCGGGCAACCACAACAGGGGAUACCCCACUGUGGCCCCCACCUCCCCCAGCAUGCCUCAGCCAGCAGGACCGGGAAUGGGCCCACCGUCUUCAGCUUCUUCUAACCGCAAGACCCAGGAGGCAGCAGCAGCCAUCAUGCAAGGCUCAGCCAAUGCAACACACAGCAGGCAGGGCACCUACCAAGGACCAAGUAUCAGCCAGGCAAGCACAACAGUCUCCUACAGCCAACCAGCAGGCAACAAUGACCCAGCCAUGGGCAACACUCAAGGUCCAGUCUAUAAUGUGAUGCCUUCAGGAGCCAUUGGAAGUUCAGGGGACGGCAUGAUGAGCUCAGAUGUGAAAGCGAAAGCAGAUGCAAAAGAUGACAAUGAUCCCACCAACGACACUCACAAGCCAAAGCAGUUACAAAACAGCCACAAUACCAACAGCACCACGAGCUCCCAGCAGUUUGUAUCUCAGCCGGCCACACCGAGCAGCGUCCUGCCCGUCCCCUCCCCUCUUUCACCCAGCCCGGCCAGUUUGUCCUCCUACCAUGGAGAUGAUAGUGACAGCAUCAGCAGCCCACCUUGGCCCAUCAAGGCCCCUCCGAGCCCUAAAGCCAACUCAAACUCCUCAACGGCCUGUGGUGAGCGAAUCGUGCGGCUAUAUGAUCUGGGCGUGGAACCGGAGAGGCGCAGCUGGGUGGAGCGCUAUCUUUCCUUCAUGGAGGAGAGAGGAACGCCCGUUUCCCAGCUGCCUGUUGUGGGGAAGAAGCCACUGGACCUCUGGAAGCUCUACAUUGCUGUUCGCGAGAUUGGAGGCCUCGCCAUGGUAAAUAAGAACAAGAAGUGGCGUGAGUUGUCGACCACUCUGAGCGUGGGGACAUCGAGCAGCUCGGCCAGCUCGCUCAAGAAGAACUAUAUCCAGUACCUGUUUGCCUAUGAGUGUAAGAUGGAGCGGGGAGAAGAGCCACCAGCAGACAGCAGCAGCAGCAGCAGCGGCAGCAUGGCCGGAACAGACAACAGGAAGCAGGUCAAGGUCCAGCCGCCCUCACCCGCUAACUCUGGUGGCUCCCUCCAAGGUCCACAAACACCCCAGUCUUCUGGCAGCAGCUCCACUGUGGAAGGUGCAGUUGACCUCAUUCCCCCGACACGUGCCACCACCCCGCUUGGACAGGUCGCACCUGUGUCAAUCAACAGGAGCAGCGUGAGUGUGCAGGACCCCUUCUCAGAGGUCAGCGACCCGGCCUUCCAGAAGCGCUCUUCUUCUCUGCCCCCCUCUGCGUCGUACCAGCAGGGCCUCGGCAUGCCUGACAUGAUGAUGAGGAUGCAGUACGAUGCCAAGGAUCCGUUCGCUGGCAUGAGGAAGAUGGUAGGAGCUGAUCCCUACAUGCCCGGCCAAAUUCCAACCAGUGGUGUUCAGGACAUGUACGGGCGGCCCCCAACAGCCCUGAGCAUGACUCAACGGUCGCAGUACCCAUACGGGCCUGGCUACGACAGGAGACCAGACCACAUGAUGGGGAUGGAGGGAGGUAUGGGUCCUCCUGGCAGUCAGAACAACAUGGGACCUCACAGUGAGGGUAGCAUGUAUUCUCCCAACAGAUAUCCUUCACAGCAGAGACAUGACGGCUAUAGUUCACAGUACCCUGGCAUGCCAUAUGGGAUGCAUCCUUCUGGAAUGUACCAGCAGCAACAGGGCUACAAAAGGCCCAUGGAUAGCAUUUAUGGCCCCCCACCCAAGAGGCACGAGAGCGACAUGUAUGGCAUGCAGUACCCCAACCAGCAGACAGAUAUGUAUAACCACUAUAGUGGGGGCUAUUCAGGCCCAGAUCACAGACCCCUCCAAGGACAGUUCCCUUACCCCUACCCCCGUGACCGCAUGGCUUCUUCUAUGCCAAGUCAGCACAGUAUGAUGAGUGGGGGGGCUACUCCAAACCACACUGGUGACGGUCCCAACAUGUGGCCAUCCAGGACAGACCUCAGCUAUCCCUACCCCAACCGACAAGGGCCCUCAUCCCAGAUGCCCCCUUAUGGCUCCAUUGGCAGAGAAGAUAUGGACGGGCGGCCCGGACAGGAUCAUUGGCACCGGCAGUCUCCUUAUAUGUCAUCUCCAGGCAGCAUGACUCCCUUUUCAUCACGCCACCCCCCAUCGUCUUAUUCCAACUCCCAGUCCAUGGCAAACCACCUGCCCAGAGCGCCAAGUCCAGGGGCUUUUCAGCGGGCCAUGGACUCUCGGGUGUCACCCAGCAAAGCAGCUUUCAUGUCAGUCAUGAAGAUGUCAAAGCCUGGGAUGCCCAUGAUGGGAUCUCAGGGAUGCGGAACACUGGGUCAGUUCCCUCCCAACCUGAGAAGGGACCUCAACUACCCACCAGGAUCAGUGGAGGGUACCAUGCCGAUUCUCAGGCAUCGACGCAAGCUUACCUCAAAGGACACAGGAAUGCCCGAGGCUUGGCGUGUGAUGAUGUCUCUGAAGUCCGGCCUGUUGGCAGAGAGCACGUGGGCGCUCGACACCAUCAACAUUCUGCUGUACGACGACAGCACGGUGGCCUCCUUCAACCUCUCCCAGUUGCCGGGCUUCCUGGAGCUUGUUGUCGAGUACUUCCGUCGUUGCCUAAUUGAUAUCUUCGGCAUCCUUCAAGAGUUUGAAGUAGGAAUGGUGCCACAGGAAAGCUCGUCGGUCCCCACCUGUGGCAAGAAUGAAGAACCCAUCCUGAACGAUGAAACCGAAAGUGCUGUCCAGUUGAUAUCCGAGUCUAUACCAGCUACGGAGGUGCCCGCGGACCUACCUGGGAACAACAUAGAGGAAUCUCUUCCUGCUGAUGGAGAGCCUGUAUCAACAGAUGGGAAGAAGGAGCCUGGAGGGUGCAUAAAAAAAAGUGAAGAAGACAAAGAGGAGGGUGAAAAGAAAGCGGAGAGUAAAAAUCAGUGUGAUGCUGAGCAGCUCGUUGCUGAGCAGGAACCCAAACCCAAACAAGCUAGCAAAUAUGAUAAAUUCCCCAUCAGCAUUGUUGACAAAGAGGACAUAAGUGAAGACAUGACAGGUGACUUAGUUGAAGAGUUCACCAGUGGGCUGCUCCACUGGCAGGCAGGUGGUGGCGACACCACGUCUCACAUUCAGACAUACUUUGAACCUCGCCGUGGUCCACCUGCCAGGGUGGAGGACAAAGAACACAAGGUGCAUGGUGAGAAGGAGCAACCGAGGAAACAUAUCAUCGCUACAAUUGAUGAUGUUCUGUGUGCGCGGGUUGACGCCCUCUCUUACGCCCACCCUGCACGCUCCCUGCCUUCCUACCCUUUCAGGGUGCAUCCGGACGGAGAACAGGACCGCAUCACCUUGCUGGAGGACGAGCCACGCUGCCUGGAUGAAGCCCCGCUGUCCACAAGCUCAGCCUGGCAGGAAUCGCUGGCCAAGCGCUGCCUCUGCGUCUCCAACAUUGUCCGUGGCUUGUCCUUCAUCCCGGGGAAUGACUUGGAUUUGUCUCGACACCCUGCGCUGGUUCUUCUUCUGGGCAGGCUCCUGCUGCUGCACCACCAGCACCCCGAGAGGAACAGAUCGCCCCCUAGCUAUCAAAGAGACGAGCAGCGAGAUAAAGGACUUUCCAGCAGUAAAGACGAGUGGUGGUGGGAGUGUCUGAGUCUGCUCAGAGAAAAUGCAAUGGUGACUCUGGCAAAUAUCUCAGGCCAGCUGGAUCUCUCCACCUAUCCCGACAACAUCUGUCUGCCCAUCUUGGACGGCCUCCUCCACUGGAUGGUGUGCCCAUCAGCCGAAGCCCAGGACCCCUUCCCUUCGGCUGCGGUCUACUCCCAGCUCACCCCUCAGAGGCUGGUUCUCGAGUGCCUCUGCAAGCUUAGCAUCCAGGACGGUAAUGUAGAUCUCCUUCUAGCCACACCAUCUUUCAGUCGCCAGGAGAAACUCUUUACAAUACUGGUCCGCUACGUGGGUCAGAGGAAGGCCCAGGUGUACAGGGAGAUGGCCGUGGCCGUCAUCUCCCACCUGGCACAAGGAGACCCUACGGCUGCACGUGCCAUCGCCAUGCAGAAAGGAAGCGUGAGUAAUUUGGUGGCCUUCUUAGAAGAUGGCGUCAGCAUGGCACAGUACCAGCAGAACCCUCACAGCUUACUGCACAUGGGCCACGCCCACAUGGAUGUGCCUAGCGUCAGCAUGUUGUGCAGAGCAGCUAAAGGACUGUUGGCCAUGGCCAAGGUAGAGGAAAACAAAGCAGAGUUUGUGCUCUAUGAAAGCCGAUUGUUAGACAUUUCCAUUUCUUCCGUCCUCAACGCAGGAGUGGUGGCCAUUGUUUGCCAGGUUCUCUUUCAUUUAGGGAAGCUAUGACAGGAGGAGGGGCAGGACUUGGUUAACAGACACUAAGGCGGACAGACUAUUUCACUUGUUUUGCUAUUUUUAUUUAUCCAACAGAGAAAAAUGUUUUUUAAAGAAAAAUCCAUGUCAAAUAUCUCUAUGUAUAGUCUCUGCGCCCUCUUAAAUGCGGGUUUGAGAUUUCAUUUGAAUACAAAUAUUUAAUACCUGCUGGUGUUGGAUUGCUCGAGUUGAUAUUACGUUGAACCUUUGUUUACUUUUUUUCAGCCAAAGCUGACACCAAAUAUUGGUGCUGACUUCCAUCAAGGAGUUGUUGCAAUUAUCUUUUUUGUUGUAUCGUUUGUUUUGUAAAAGCUAUAAUGUGCUCAUUUUGUUUUAGGAGAGUAUUUAUUUAAAAAUGUGACACUGUACAGGAGGCUGACUUUUUUUUGCUAGCACUUGUGGAGGAAAAACACACUGACUUCUUUUCGUCGCUGUCUCUGCUGGAAGAGAACUUGUGCAAUAGGACAAGAACAGGCGGUCCUUACUAGAAACCAGAGGAAACCACACAUGCAGUCUGUACUGUGGGCCACAAGGGGGCAGCCGUGCACCAGCCAAUCAACUAGACGCGCAUCUGUCAAAAAAUGUAUUCAUCAUUGCCUCAAAGACUGCAACUUUUUUCUCCUCAAGGCUCGUGUCAUGUCUGCAUUAUUUCAUCACUGUAUACAAACCGAACAAUGGAUGCACACGGUUAUUUACUAUUCCAAUCAAGCAUAGCAAAAGAUGGGACUAUUAACAAAUGCUUUUAUUGUUGUCAAACAUUUGUUAUUGUUAUUACUAUACACAUUUUGUUAAUGGGGUCCGAUAUUUGAACAUGGUAACCGCUGUUUCAAUGUAAAAAAAAAUGCCUGUACGCAUUGUAUUAUAGCUGAGAAAACAAUCGCUUUGGUAAUCAAAUGUGAAAGUGCCAGGGUGAGAGGAUCCAUAGGUUACAUAAGAAAAGUGAACACGUUUCUUUUUGUUGCUGUCCUCCAUUCACGUCAGUGGGCACAUUUUGGAAUGCCCCAAAAGAAAUGUGUUAAAAUCCUACAAGAUGUUCAAGAUGCUCAUUGUAAAAAAUUGCCUUUUUUCGUAUGACUACAGUACGUCUCUUUUAUCCAGUAUACACAUUUAUACUCUGUCCUGCACAUGUCACAAAUAAAUGUACAAUGAACAUCUUGGCAGUAGUUACAUUCUGUCUACACUCUAGGGUCCCAAAAUGGGGCACACCAAUUGUCAAAAAUGAGCAAUGAUCGCCUAACGCUCACAAUUACGAGCUCACCUGAACUCCUCAUAGCACCGUCAUAGCAGAAAGAAGGAAGGAGACACGGCACGAAGUUCUUCAUUGCUCUGCGCAAGCAGUGUGGAUUAUGUAGACGUGGCAUUGGAGGAACACUUGCAUCGUCCCAGACAGCUAGCCGGGACGACCCAGCAGCCUGCGAAGCUGCGUACCGCCGGUAGCUGCUGUAGAUGGAGCCGGAGACGGCAUCACGGCAGACGGAAGAGAGGGUGCUGCGGUAUCCUGACGUCCAGGCUAAUGGAAGUUUCCCUGCCAUUGGACCAGUGACGUGUGAAGCAGCUGAGAUGAAGUAGAAGGCAACACCGCUGGUCUUUCUAGCGGUUCUGGCACCGAGCCUGUCGGAUGGCCGGCUGCGCCACCUCCAGAUGUGAGCCCAAAAAGAGACUUGACGAGGCCAUCAUGUUGCCUGAAGAAAUUGAAAUGCUCAAACAUAUCCAUUAUCCUGUCAGAAAGACCUUCUUCAUCAAAAGGAACCCCCGGACCGGCAUCAAGGACCUGUGAAUGGGCAACUUUUGCCACAGAGACACCGAACCAGCAACAUUUGCCACUGAAUGGCCAACCUCUGCCACAGGGACCCGGGAAUGGGCAACAAGGACUCCUGAAUGGGAAACCUUUGCCACAGUGACACCCGAACCGGCAACAUUUGCCAAAGGGACACCUAAAUGGACAACAAGAACUCCUGAAUGGGAAACAUUUACCACACUGACCCUUCAACCGUCAACAAAAAGCCAUGAAUGGGCAAGCUUUGCCACAGAGACCAUGGAACUGGCAGCAGGAACCCCUGAAUUGGCAACUUUUGUCACAGGUACCCCUCAAUCGGCAACCUUUACCAUAGGGACCGCGGAAUGGGCACAAAGGACUCCUCAAUGGAAAACUUUUGCCACAGGUACCCUUCAGCCAUCAACAAGGACCCCUGAACUGGCAACAUUUUACCACAGGGACCCAGGAAAGGGCAACAAGGUCUUCUGAAUGGGCAACUUUUGCCACUGGGACCCCUGAACCGACAACCUUUGCCACCGAGACCCCAGAAGUGGCAACAAGAACCCCUGAAAUGGCAACUUUUGCCACAGGUACCCCUCAGUGGGCAACCUUUGGCACAGGGACCCCUGAACCGGAAAACUUUGCCACAGGGACCUCGGACCUGGCUACAAGAAGUCCUGAAUGGGCAACUUUUGCCACUGGGAUCCCUGAACCGGCAAUUUUUGCCACAGAAACCUGCAUGGGAACUGGCAGCAAGAACCAUUGAAUUGGCAAGUUUGGCCACAGGUACUCCUCAGUCGGUAACCUUUGUGACAGGUACUGCUGAAUUGGCAACCUUUGCCACAGGGACCACUGAACCGGCAAUCUUUGCCACAGGGACCCCCGGAGCUGGCAACAUAAAACCCUGAAUUGGCAACUCUUGCCACAGGUCCCCUCAUCCGGCAACCUUUUUCACAAGGGACGCCCUGAACCGGGAAGCACAUAUCAAUAUAAAUCCUCAUUUCAUUGCUUAAUGUACUGUAUGUGGUUUCCUGACUCAAACAUAACAUGUAUAAUUCUUCAUGCUCAGCAGUCAUGUGCCUUUUACUUUUGAUAGGCAGCAUAUUUGAAUUCACUCAGUGGACACUUCAUUAGGUACACCAUCUAAAUAGUUAUAGAGAUCCUUACUUGUAGGUAUUGAUCAGUAUGGUUUUGUACUGUACCAUAAUGGCACUGUUAUAUC
Molecule: RNA transcript, 9840 nt
Organism: Dunckerocampus dactyliophorus (ringed pipefish)
Lineage: Eukaryota; Metazoa; Chordata; Actinopteri; Syngnathiformes; Syngnathidae
Gene: arid1b
Gene name: AT rich interactive domain 1B (SWI1-like)
Exons: 25
Source: RefSeq, a predicted model, not a curated record